UACGGAGGAUCCAAGCGUUAUCCGGAAUCAUUGGGGUUUAAAGGGUCCGUAGGCGGUCUUAUAAGUCAGUGGUGAAAUCUCCCCCGCUCAACGGGGAAACGGCCAUUGAUACUGUAGGACUUGAAUUAUAAGGAAGUAACUAGAAUAUGUAGUGUAGCGGUGAAAUGCUUAGAGAUUACAUGGAAUACCAAUUGCGAAGGCAGGUUACUACUUAUGGAUUGACGCUGAUGGACGAAAGCGUGGGUAGCGAACAGGAUUAGAUACCCGCGUAGU
This 273-nucleotide ribosomal RNA is filed under the name uncultured bacterium. RNAcentral describes it as "partial 16S ribosomal RNA". It matches the Rfam family "Bacterial small subunit ribosomal RNA", at positions 524 to 794 of the family's 1533-position model. The record is from RNAcentral.